This 431-nucleotide ribosomal RNA is filed under the name uncultured bacterium. RNAcentral describes it as "partial 16S ribosomal RNA". It matches the Rfam family "Bacterial small subunit ribosomal RNA", at positions 338 to 795 of the family's 1533-position model. The record is from RNAcentral.
CCUACGGGUGGCAGCAGUGGGGAAUCUUGGACAAUGGGGGAAACCCUGAUCCAGCGAUGCCGCGUGAGUGAUGAAGGCCUUCGGGUUGUAAAGCUCUUUUGUUGGGGAAGCGGUACCCAACGAAUAAGGUCCGGCUAACUUCGUGCCAGCAGCCGCGGUAAUACGAAGGGACCUAGCGUUGUUCGGAAUGACUGGGCGUAAAGGGCGUGUAGGCGGUUUUUUAAGUCAGAUGUGAAAGCCCUGGGCUCAACCUAGGAAGUGCAUUUGAUACUGGGAGACUAGAGUAUGCGAGGGGGUAGCGGAAUUGCGAGUGUAGAAGUGAAAUUCGUAGAUAUUCGCAGGAACACCGAUGGCGAAGGCAGCUAUCUGGCAAUACUGACGCUGAGGCGCGAAAGCGUGGGGAGCAAACAGGAUUAGAUACCCUUGUAGUC